GAUGAACGCUGGCGGCGUGCCUAAUACAUGCAAGUCGAGCGAACAGACGAGGAGCUUGCUCCUCUGACGUUAGCGGCGGACGGGUGAGUAACACGUGGAUAACCUACCUAUAAGACUGGGAUAACUUCGGGAAACCGGAGCUAAUACCGGAUAAUAUAUUGAACCGCAUGGUUCAAUAGUGAAAGACGGUUUUGCUGUCACUUAUAGAUGGAUCCGCGCCGCAUUAGCUAGUUGGUAAGGUAACGGCUUACCAAGGCGACGAUGCGUAGCCGACCUGAGAGGGUGAUCGGCCACACUGGAACUGAACCACGGUCCAGACUCCUACGGGAGGCAGCAGUAGGGAAUCUUCCGCAAUGGGCGAAAGCCUGACGGAGCAACGCCGCGUGAGUGAUGAAGGUCUUCGGAUCGUAAAACUCUGUUAUUAGGGAAGAACAAAUGUGUAAGUAACUAUGCACGUCUUGACGGUACCUAAUCAGAAAGCCACGGCUAACUACGUG
Molecule: ribosomal RNA, 497 nt
Filed under: uncultured bacterium
Lineage: Bacteria
Description: partial 16S ribosomal RNA
Rfam family: Bacterial small subunit ribosomal RNA
Source: RNAcentral